GAUGAAGAACGUAGCGAAAUGCGAUAAGUAAUGUGAAUUGCAGAAUUCAGUGAAUCAUCGAAUCUUUGAACGCGCAUUGCGCCCAUUAGUAUUCUAGUGGGCAUGCCUGUUCGAGCGUCAUUUCAACCCUUAAGCCUAGCUUAGUAUUGGGAAUCGACUUUACUGUCGUUCCUCAAAUUCAACGGCGGAUUUAUAGCAAUCUCUGAACGUAGUAAUUUUUUUUCUCGUUUUUGAAAUACUAUAAACCUCAGCCGCUAAACCCCCAAUUUCUUAUGGUUGACCUCGGAUCAGGUAGGAAUACCCGCUGAACUUAAGCAUAUCAAUAAGCGGAGGA
This 334-nucleotide unclassified non-coding RNA is filed under the name soil metagenome. RNAcentral's name for it is "partial contains 5.8S ribosomal RNA, internal transcribed spacer 2, and large subunit ribosomal RNA". The stretch from base 1 to 120 matches the Rfam family "5.8S ribosomal RNA", at positions 35 to 154 of the family's 154-position model. The record is from RNAcentral.